UACGUAGGGUGCAAGCGUUAUUCGGAAUUACUGGGCGUAAAGCGUGCGCAGGCGGUUCGCCAAGUCAGGUGUGAAAUCCCCGGGCUUAACCUGGGAAUUGCGCUUGAAACUAGCGGGCUUGAGUGCGGCAGAGGGGGGUGGAAUUCCACGUGUAGCAGUGAAAUGCGUAGAGAUGUGGAGGAACACCGAUGGCGAAGGCAGCCCCCUGGGUCGACACUGACGCUCAUGCACGAAAGCGUGGGGAGCAAACAGG
Molecule: ribosomal RNA, 253 nt
Filed under: uncultured bacterium
Lineage: Bacteria
Description: partial 16S ribosomal RNA
Rfam family: Bacterial small subunit ribosomal RNA
Source: RNAcentral